Molecule: long non-coding RNA, 1032 nt
Filed under: Cyanistes caeruleus (blue tit)
Lineage: Eukaryota; Metazoa; Chordata; Aves; Passeriformes; Paridae
Description: lncRNA (ENSCCEG00000019313.1)
Source: RNAcentral
CCGGCUGCGAGCGCCCGGGAAUUGCCGCCUCCUGGCAGCGGUGCGGCUGUUCCCGACGGGGAGUUGAGAAGGGCGGCUGGGAAAACUGUGUGCUCGGGGUUCUUGUAGGUGUCACGCAGAGUUUAGCACUUUCAGAGCGGCCGCUUGGCUGUGGAUACACACUUGGUGGGGAGGCAAAGCCAAAAGGCAUGACGUGCAGCCGUGGCUAUAAAAAGUAAAAGCGCUGUCAGGGUUUGCCCAGCGCGCCGUGAGCGAGUCUUUGGCCCGGGACUGAAGCUGUCAGGGUGCCUCCUGAAAGCAAAUCAUUUAAUUUAAUGCAAUUUUAAGGGAAAAAAAUCUCGUUUUCCAGGUUGAUUUGCGCGCGUUGCGGGAGCAGGGCUGUAGCUGCGCCCUUUAAACAGGCACAGAAAGUUCCGCUCCGUGCCUGGGAGCGCUCAGUGCUGGUACUGCCGCUGCCUUCGGUAACGGGAGCAUCCGCGGAGCUGAGGGUGCAAGAGGAGCGGAGAGGCGUCUGAAAAGAGACCCGAGGGCACGGGGACGGUCUUAUACCGCAUACGGAGGUCUCUUUGAGAGCAUCUGGAAGACAGUGAGGGACAAAUGUUAUGAAAGCCGCUUGAAAACAUCAUGCUGUGCUUUGGGAGCAGGUGAUUUUCUUAGGUACAAGUUGUCCAUGACUUGUUCCUGUUUCACCUAUGCUGCUGGCUUUAUUUUGGAAUUACUCACUUUCUCUUAAGUGAUAUUUAUAAUGGAUAUAUUAAUAGACAAUAAUUUAAGACUUGCUUAAAAAAUCUAGAUCUAUGUGACUGGUUAAUUCUGUGAGACCUGUUCUGGCUUGAGAUUUAGAACAACUGUAGAGAUGUUUCUUUUUUUAAAGUUAUCAGAUGUUUCAUUGGUUUUGUGGCACUACUCUGGAGUAAUGCAAGCUUUCUGGUGAGAUGCUAUGGGCUCUAAUUCAUUGCUACUUUGUCUGCUUGGAACAGAUUAAGUUUUAAUAUUAUUAAGUUUUAAUAUUAUUAAGUUUUAAUAUUAUUA